GUUAUACUUGUAAUAUAAUACAUUUUAUACUUAUGUAUAAAGUGUAUUAUAGCUUUAACUUUUUAAACACACCAAUGCUUAUGUUAAUUAAAACUGUUUUAUAGAAAAAAGACUCUUUUUUCUACGGGCAAGUAUAAUAUCGAUUUAUUCGAAUAAAGUUCUAGAUAGAAUACUGAUUAUGACAAUUUUCUAUCUAUAUGUCUUGACCAAAAUACGUGCCAGCAGUCGCGGCAAUACGUAAAAGACUAGUGUUAUUCAUCUUUAAUAGGUUUAAAGGGUACCUAGACGGUGUAAUUAGUCCUAAAUAGGAUACGAUUAUUACUAGAGUUAUAUACGAGGAGGGGAGAAUUUAUAGAGUAGAGUUAAAAUUUUGUAAUACUAUAAAGACUGGUAACGGCGAAAGCGACCUUUUAUCUAAUAACUGACGUUGAGGGACGAAGGCUUGGGUAGCGAAUAGGAUUAGAUACCCUAGUAGUCCAAGCAGAGAAUUAUGAAUGCCAUAGAUUAGAUUUUUUUUAGUUUAUAAAUGAAAGUGUAAGCAUUUCACCUCAAGAGUAAUGUGGCAACGCAGGAACUGAAAUCAUUAGACCGUUUCUGAAACCAGUAGUGAAGUAUGUUAUUUAAUUCGUCAAUACGCGAAAAACCUUACCACAAUUUGAAUAUUAUUUUAUGAAAACGAUAUUUUUAAUAUUGUUAGUAGUAUUAUAUUACAAGCGUUGCACGGCUGUCUUCAGUUAAUGUCGUGAGAUAUUGGUUUAUUCCAUUAAAUUAACGGAAACCCUUGCUUUAUUUAUCUUUUUAAGAAUAAAGCAGUACACCUUGAGUAGGAUAUG
RNAcentral lists this ribosomal RNA (833 nucleotides) under Pleuroascus rilstonii. RNAcentral's name for it is "mitochondrial SSU rRNA". The stretch from base 149 to 833 matches the Rfam family "Bacterial small subunit ribosomal RNA", at positions 1 to 1169 of the family's 1533-position model. Lineage: Eukaryota; Fungi; Ascomycota; Leotiomycetes; Helotiales; Pleuroascaceae. The record is from RNAcentral.